This is a long non-coding RNA of Mauremys reevesii (Reeves's turtle), 2780 nucleotides long. RefSeq lists it as uncharacterized. The transcript is spliced from 3 exons. The record is from RefSeq and is a predicted model, not a curated record. NCBI's taxonomy places the organism in Eukaryota, Metazoa, Chordata, Testudines, Geoemydidae.
GCUAGGAUAAAACCAGGAAGCUGGGGGCAGAUUGGGGCUAUAGUGAGAAAGCCUGUAGCUGCUCUCUGGACAGGAGCAGAGGAAAGAAGAUAAACUAGGUAGAGGGGAUGUUGGAAAAGGCAGCGAGGUUUAAAAGGGUGCAGACAUUGUUUGCUGAAUAGAGGGUCCCUGAGCUGGAGCUGAGGGUGGGCCCAAUCUCCCCUACCAGCCACAGUUUGGGCAGUGAAGGUGAAACUGCCAGCUUGGAUGAAGAGACUUUGAUAUCCUGAAAGAGGAAAACAUGCAGUGACCUGGCUGGAAGGCUGAGCCAUGGUGAUAGAGCAGCCUGGGUUGCAAAGAGUGAGAGGCAGGGCAUGCAGAGAGCGGCAGAAGGCGGUGCUGGACCUGGGAAGAGUUAGUCCCCAGAGUGGCCAGGAGGAGGCGCCCUUGCGGCGCAGAGGGCCAGCUCCAAACCCCACUGAAGUCAAUGGGAAAGGCUCACUGUGGUGUCAGGGAUUCCCAAGCUCUGCCGGCUUCAGUGAAGCCGUUGCAGAGAGCGGUAGUACACUCCAGUAAAGUCUGGCUGGGAGCAGUUCAAAAGCACAAAGCACCUGGUUCUCAUGAAUGUUUUAUCAACGGAGCCGCGUCACUGGCUGGCGGUCCCAGGCCUCGGCUUUUGGGGCUGUUUUACUAUCUGCCACGGGACCCGGCCCAGCUGUCUGCUCAUUCAGCGGUGCCUCUGGUGGAUCGCGGCCCUGCCUCCCCCUUCACCUGCUGUUGCUCUCCAGGGGUCUGCCCAUCAUCCUGUCUGCUUCUCCCUCUGCACUCACCCCAGGACCACGGGUUGCUUCAUCUGCUCCCCUAGUCUUUGUGCUGCCUUUCUACCCUUGAGCCUUGCCCCAGCCUGGUGGAUGUUCCUGGUGGAAAAUCAGCAGAGGCUGAUUUUCAAAUUGCAGCCUUCUCCCAGCCCUAUGGAGAACUCCAGUCUCCCCCUGCCACUCAACCUCAUCACCUCCGGCUCUUCCCUUUCCUUCUCUCCCCUCCCCAUCCAGACUCCCACCAAUCACUUCUCCCCUUGCCUCCACUGCCAAACCUCUGCUUCACACCAGGUUCCCUUUGGUGUCCCAUUCACGGCACCCCCUCCUCUCCAGCCUCCCUAGCUCUGUGAUCUGCCCAGCUAAAAGAAUCUCCCUCUCCCACCUCUGUGAGCUGCAUUAGACCCAUGGGGAUGUCCUUUGGCCUGUGCUGGCAUAGAACAGCCGUGUCCGGUACCAUAUGCUUAGCAAGCUGGAGAGUGUGGUGUAGUGGGAGGCUGGGAGAGUGGAGGAGGACAAGGAUGUAGCAGGAAGGGGGUCUGUUGCCAGCUGUUCUCUCUCUGAGGUCCCUGCAGGGUGCGAGCAUGCAGGUAUGUGCCUGAGCCAGACAGCAGGCCAGAUCCUCAGCUGGUGGCGGUGGAGCAAGGCUGACUUGCAAUCUAAACCGUGGCGCAAAAGGGUUAAGAAGCGAGCAGGGGCCAUCUCCUGUUCUGAGUCCCAACCCCCCUGCAGUCCUAUUCCCUUCAGUGUGAUUUCACAGGCCCCCUGAGGUUUUUCUCAGUUCGCCACCAUUCACCCUCCUGCCAUAUUUGCCCCGUGCCUUGUAAUCCAUCACAUUCCCUCCCUCCCACGUGGGCUCCUCCCCUCCCUCCAUCCGCAGCACCGCAGUGCGAGAUUUCCCUGGCUGUGGGCUGAUCACAGGGCAGUUUGGCUUCUGUUCCCUGACAGUGAAUGACAGAGUGAGCAAGCUGCCAGCCUGUGUCUGUUGCCUUAUACAUCAGCGCGCUGACAGUGCAAGUGAUCUAGGAUGCUGGUGAUAACCCCAGUAAUGGCUCAUGGCAGAAGAGGCAGGGAGCUAAGAUUUUAUAACUGUGCUAAUUGCAGGUGCCAUCUAGGAUUCUCACCGCAGGGUGUUAAUUAUAUCUUGGGACAUUUAGCAGCACUCCCAGGGCCCUGGUACAGGAGUUAAGGGACCAGUGGCUGACUCUGCUGCUGACUCUGUGAAGACCUCUCCCCCUCUCUGUGACUCAGUUUCCCCAUCAGCAAAAAGGGGAUAAUGACACUUAAAGAGGGAGUUAAGUAUCUUUAGAUCCUUUGAAAAAAUUAACUAGAAUUGCUUGGCUGCAUGCAUGGCCACUAGACAGUCCACAGCACUUUUAGUGAGGGUGUCAGGGGAUGCAAUUCUUCACUCAUUGAUGCUGGUGUAAAUCAGGAGUAACUCCUCUGAGGUCAAUGAAAUUGCAUUGGUGUAAAAGUGUUGUAAGUUUGAGGACAAUUAGGCCUGAGAUGGUAAUCCCACUGUCCAGGUACAUUCCAUUUUGCAUUGCUAAAUUUCCCCUGCCAGUUCCAAUGGGGGCCUGUAUUCUUUCUUGCUUCCUAGCCCCAUAUUGCUGUGUGCAGUUAAUCAGCUGCUGCAUUCCACCCCAGACAUGGCUGCAUUUAACUGGUGGGCCAGGGAUCCCUGCAUUCCAUCACAGUCUGGGUUAACGUUUCAGUAAUAGGUCAGGGAUUCCUACAGAACCAGCUGCUGUACCCCACCCCAGAGGGGGCUGUAUUUGAUGGGUGGGACAGGGGUUCCUGCAGAACCAGCUGCUGCACUCCACACCAGAAGCAGCCACAAGUGGAGUGUGAUUGCUGUGUCUCCAGCCUCCUGGCCCUUCCCAGUGAUGCAUUUGGGAUGCGGUGCCCGUCACUUCUCUCGCAGGGGUAAUUUCUCUCCCUGCCUGGCUGGACCAUGUAGAUGUUCAUCACCCUCUCCAGCUGCCC